RNAcentral lists this long non-coding RNA (895 nucleotides) under Anas platyrhynchos (mallard). Its description in RNAcentral is "lncRNA (ENSAPLG00020012627.1)". Lineage: Eukaryota; Metazoa; Chordata; Aves; Anseriformes; Anatidae. The record is from RNAcentral.
AAACCUAAUGAAAGACUUAGUAAGUUUAUUUAUUCCAAUGUUUUUGUUUUCUCAGGCUGUUGGUAGAACUUACAGUGGCCUUCAGACACUCCCUGAGAAAUCUGCUAUGAUACUAAAGUCUAUGGAGUAUUUAGGUGAUGUAUUAAAAGUAUGUAAAACCUUACCUGAAGGCAAAAGGACCUCCAGAAGGUUUGCAGCUUACUUAUUGGAUCAUAGGAUGUCUUGUAAAGAACUGGGCAGCAAUACUGGCCACUUCCAAAGCACAGCAACUCCUGUUCCGCAUCAUAGAUUGCUUGCUGCUGCCCCACUCUGUGCUCCAGCAGGACAAAGAGCUGCCUGCAGCUUUGCUGUCUGCCAUUCAGGAAAGCCUACCUCUUUAUCUUCAGGGCCUAUCCUUUAUAUGUUGCCAGACCCAAACUCAGGGGGCCUAUUUAAAUCAACUGCUUGGGAGCAUUAUUCAGCAUUAUUUUGGACGAUUUCUCCCUUCUUCACCAACUGCACUUGGAGUUGGACAGCAUCCUUUGCUGACUGCUUUAUGCAGCUCCAUUACAGUCCCCCAGAUGCUCCGUCUACGGAAGACCACUCUGCAUGUCAUAAAGUAAGGCCCAGUGAAGAACAAAACAUCACUUACUCAGAUUUCACAAACAGCUAAUGAGAAAGGGAAUGUCACUGUUGUUUUCUCAUAAUCAUAAUGUUGUUUUCUCAUUUCUCAUAACUGAUAGUUAUGCUGGGUAGGGAGCCAAGGAAGGGCAAAGCAUAUAGAGCAGGAAGGUAAAACUGAGAUUUGGAAACCAGUGAGAGAGUCACUGAGGAUGGAGGUCCUAGACUAUAAUAAAAAAUAUCUCAUAUGGCCACAUGAAAAGCAAGCAUGUUUCCUAAAACAUCGCACUCCAAU